GACGAACGCUGGCGGCGUGCCUAACACAUGCAAGUCGAGCGAAUGAAGUUCCUUCGGGAACGGAUUUAGCGGCGGACGGGUGAGUAACACGUGGGCAACCUACCUCAUAGAGGGGAAUAGCCUUCCGAAAGGGAGAUUAAUACCGCAUAAGAUUGUAGUACCGCAUGAUACAGCAAUUAAAGGAGCAAUCCGCUAUGAGAUGGGCCCGCGGCGCAUUAGCUAGUUGGUGAGGUAACGGCGUCACCAAGGCGACGAUGCGUAGCCGACCUGAGAGGGUGAUCGGCCACAUUGGGACUGAGACACGGCCCAGACUCCUACGGGAGGCGAGCAGUGGGGAAUAUUGGGCAAUGGGCGAAAGCCUGACCCAGCAACGCCGCGUGAAGG
Molecule: ribosomal RNA, 384 nt
Filed under: uncultured bacterium
Lineage: Bacteria
Description: bacterial SSU rRNA
Rfam family: Bacterial small subunit ribosomal RNA
Source: RNAcentral